GCUACCUGUCCUCUAGAUGUUGCCAAAACCCGAAGACAGAUAGAGAAGGAUCCUAUAAGGGCAUUGAGGAUGACAACAUGGCAAGUAUUGUCAGAUGUUUGGAGGGAUGGAGGAAUGAAAGCACUAUUCACAGGGGUCCUCGUGUUGCUCGUGCAGGGCCAUCUGUUGGGAUUGUGGUUUCAUUUUAUGAAGUAGUGAAGUAUGUUCUGCAACGACAUUAUGCAACUUCAUGACAAAAGAGGCGGGUUUUAGUGUGCUUUAUCAGUUCUUUUGGGUAUCUGUUAAAUCAAUUUUUGGUGACGGUACAGGAGUCACACUUGACUUUGAAGAAGUAGCGACCGGAUAUCAUGUGAAUAAUAUAGCAAGCAAAGAAGAGAAUACAGUUCUGAUUGUGUUAGGUUCUUUUCUCUAGGCCUGCAAGUGCACGAUGGAAGCAUUUGGUAUCUUUGUCCAAUUUUUUUUUUCUUAG
Molecule: unclassified non-coding RNA, 469 nt
Filed under: Hevea brasiliensis (rubber tree)
Lineage: Eukaryota; Viridiplantae; Streptophyta; Magnoliopsida; Malpighiales; Euphorbiaceae
Source: RNAcentral